GAUGAACGCUCGCUACAGGCUUAACACAUGCAAGUCGAGGGGAAACGAUGAGAGAGCUUGCUCUCUUAGGCGUCGACCGGCGCACGGGUGAGUAACGCGUAUCCAACCUACCCAUUACAGGGGGAUAACCUUGCGAAAGUAAGACUAAUACCCCAUGGCAUUUUAUGGUGGCAUCAUUAUAGGAUUAAAGAUUUAUUGGUAAUGGAUGGGGAUGCGUCUGAUUAGCUUGUUGGCGGGGUAACGGCCCACCAAGGCAACGAUCAGUAGGGGUUCUGAGAGGAAGGUCCCCCACAUUGGAACUGAGACACGGUCCAAACUCCUACGGGAGGCAGCAGUGAGGAAUAGUGGUCAAUGGGCGAGAGCUUGAACCAGCCAAGUAGCGUGCAGGAUGACGGCCCUAUGGGUGGUAAACUGCUUUUAUAGGGGAAUAAAGUGAGCUACGUGUAGUUUAUUGCAUGUACCCUAUGAAUAAGGACCGGCUAAUUCCGUG
Molecule: ribosomal RNA, 490 nt
Filed under: uncultured bacterium
Lineage: Bacteria
Description: partial 16S ribosomal RNA
Rfam family: Bacterial small subunit ribosomal RNA
Source: RNAcentral